This 460-nucleotide ribosomal RNA is filed under the name uncultured bacterium. RNAcentral describes it as "partial 16S ribosomal RNA". It matches the Rfam family "Bacterial small subunit ribosomal RNA", at positions 338 to 795 of the family's 1533-position model. The record is from RNAcentral.
CCUACGGGAGGCAGCAGUGAGGAAUAUUGGUCAAUGGGCGCGAGCCUGAACCAGCCAAGUAGCGUGAAGGAUGACUGCCCUACGGGUUGUAAACUUCUUUUAUAAAGGAAUAAAGUGAGGCACGUGUGCCUGUUUGUAUGUACUUUAUGAAUAAGGAUCGGCUAACUACGUGCCAGCAGCCGCGGUAAUACGGAGGUUCCGAGCGUUAUCCGGAUGUAUUGGGUUUAAAGGGAGCGUAGAUGGGGUGUUAAGUCAGUUGUGAAAGUUUGCGGCUCAACCGUAAAAUUGCAAUUGAUACUGGGAGUCUUGAGUACAGGUGGGGUAGGCGGAAUUCGUGGUGUAGCGGUGAAAUGCUUAGAUAUCACGCAGAACCCCGAUUGCGAAGGCAGCCUGCCAAGCCAUGACUGACGCUGAUGCACGAAAGCGUGGGGAUCAAACAGGAUUAGAUACCCGGGUAGUC